Molecule: long non-coding RNA, 880 nt
Filed under: Equus caballus (horse)
Lineage: Eukaryota; Metazoa; Chordata; Mammalia; Perissodactyla; Equidae
Description: lncRNA (ENSECAG00000046746.1)
Source: RNAcentral
GAAAAAUCAUACUACCUUUUUUUUUCCCAAAUGAUUGAUCACUCAACCACAAAAAUGGUCUUUGGAGGAAUAGGUUUUCCUUAAGAACUUACAAAUAUUGCCCUGUUACAGGACUUUAUGGUUUAAGUUCUGAAAGUUGUAGUCAUUCUAAUCUAAAUCUUUGGAAUAUUAUCACUUCCUUUUUAGAUUCAUGUAUUAUCGUUAACUGCCAUUGAAAUGAAGGUGGAAGCAAAUAAAUGUGUUAGCCUGCUCACCAUUUUUUUUUCAUUAUUAGCCAGUAUGCUUCUGGUUUUGAAGGACAGAAACUCAACCUGAACUAAACUAGUCAAAAAGGAGAACUGUUUUCUCAUCUAACCACAGAAAGGAAGCAGGGCAGCGCUCAGAGUUGGGCUAUUUUGCUCUCCAUCUCUCACCGCAGCUUCUUUCAAAUAUUGGCUCAUUAUCCUCUGCAAACCGGCCUCUUCCACAUGGUGUUUACUGCUCCAGAGAUGCACUUUCUUUAAUUCUCACCAUCAAAGAAAGAAUAAGUCUUCUUCUCCUCCAUGUCCAGUUUGAAAAAUACCAAGAUAGAGCUGUGAUUGGUCUUGCCUGGGUCAGGAAGAUUAGCCCAGAGCUAAUAUCCACACCCAUCUUCCUCUACUCUAUAUAUGGGAUGCCUGCCACAGCAUGGCUUGACAAGCAGGGUGUAGGUCUGCACCCAGGAUCCGAACCAGCAAACCCUGGGCUGCCAAAGCAGAAUGUGUGAACAUAACUGCUGUGCCACCAGGCUGGCCCCUGGAAAUGAUAUCUUAAUGUAGUUUUAAAUUGCAUUGAUCUCCUUAUGGGUGAAGAUGAGGGUAUUCUCGUAUGUUCUUAUAUUUUGCCCAUUGUUUUUCAUAUG